Molecule: ribosomal RNA, 226 nt
Filed under: uncultured bacterium
Lineage: Bacteria
Description: partial 16S ribosomal RNA
Rfam family: Bacterial small subunit ribosomal RNA
Source: RNAcentral
UACGUAAGGUGCAAGCGUUAAUCGGAAUUACUGGGCGUAAAGCGUGCGCAGGCGGUUUUGUAAGUCUGUCGUGAAAUCCCCGGGCUCAACCUGGGAAUUGCGAUGGAGACUGCAAGGCUAGAAUCUGGCAGAGGGGGGUAGAAUUCCACGUGUAGCAGUGAAAUGCGUAGAGAUGUGGAGGAACACCGAUGGCGAAGGCAGCCCCCUGGGUCAAGAUUGACGCUCA